AGCCCAAACGAAAGCACCGAGAGCCAUGUCGGUACCAGACCUAGGAGCCUCACUGCGUUCCCGCGGAAGUGAUCGUGGUGGUCGCGCCUGGGUGUAUUGGCGACUAGACCUAGGAGCCUCGGCCAUUACUUCAUCUAGGGUACGAACACUUCCAUGGAAUUCGCCUUGGUAUCCUCUACAUGUAGAACCAGGAAUGGAGUUUGCCAACCGAGAGCAUGGUGGGGGUGAGGGCCGCCCAUGGUGCCGCCGCAGCUAAUAGGGCACCGCCGCCGCUGGCCGUCGUGAAGUGGGUGGUUUGGCCAUGGCUGUUGGCUGCUUGAUAAACGACCCCGAUUAGAUGCAAGAUACCCAUUUGGUCACACUUCAUCCUGACCGUUGAUCGAAUGGUGGACGUAUGAGAUUAGAUCCCGGCGUUUUAAAUCUGGAGCGCUGAUCUGUAAUCGAACGGGUGAUAUCGUGUACCACUUUAUAGCUCUCGGAGUAUGAUCUGGAUGGUCCGUUUUUAAUCGGACGGCUCAGAUUAUCCUGUACCCCUUCACCGUGGCAUUUUCAUUAAGAGCCCCUAUGUUUU
This 571-nucleotide long non-coding RNA is filed under the name Zea mays. RNAcentral describes it as "long non-coding RNA NONZMAT001008". The record is from RNAcentral. Lineage: Eukaryota; Viridiplantae; Streptophyta; Magnoliopsida; Poales; Poaceae.